AGCGUAGGUGGCCUAACAUGUCAACUGUGAAACCCGGAGCUCAACUCCGGACUUGCAGUUGAAACUGGUAGGCUUGAGGACGGUAGAGGAAGACGGAACUGCCAGUGUAGGGGUAAAUCCUUAGAUAUUGGCAGGAACGCCGGUGACGAAGGUGGUUUCUGGGCCGGUUCUGACACUGAUGCUCGAAAGCCAGGGGAGCGAACG
Molecule: ribosomal RNA, 204 nt
Filed under: uncultured Mesotoga sp.
Lineage: Bacteria; Thermotogati; Thermotogota; Thermotogae; Kosmotogales; Kosmotogaceae
Description: partial 16S ribosomal RNA
Rfam family: Bacterial small subunit ribosomal RNA
Source: RNAcentral